GAAACUUGGAGGCACUUGUCUGAGAUUGACGUAGGAGGAGGGAAUUUUUGACCUCUUUGAUCUGCAGUCCCCUCACCAGUCCAACAGGGAUCCUCGCUGGCAAGGAGGGAGCUUCUCUCUCCUAGUUCCCUCUGGAAGAAAAAAAAUCUUAGGAGCCUGACACUUGCUUCCUGAAGAACCUAGUGUGCUACCCCAUCGGAAGUAUCCAGCGUGGUUCCUCAGGCACCCCUUAUCGAAUGCUCCCUAGGAUACCCUACAAUGACUCCAACCCUCGGUAAGUAUCUCCAAGUGGUACUCCCUUUCCAGCAGCUGCUCUGUACCUUUACUGGCUAAGCUUGUACAGAGCCCCAAAACAGCAUGAAUUCCCCGGACUCUCAACUUUACCCUGAAUCUCCUAUAAGUAAAAGGGCUUCUGGUGCAGUGGCGCCCCCUCUCUCCACCCACGCGGGUCAUGCUGACCCCCAAC
Molecule: long non-coding RNA, 466 nt
Organism: Grammomys surdaster
Lineage: Eukaryota; Metazoa; Chordata; Mammalia; Rodentia; Muridae
Exons: 3
Source: RefSeq, a predicted model, not a curated record